AAAGCAAAAGUAGCUAACCUCUCUUAACUUCUAUAUACAAAUAAUUCUUUAAUAUUGAAAAUUUUAUAUAUUUGCAUUCCCACAUUUCCAAUCAACUCAUUUGGUUCUAACAAACACCAUUGAAAUUAUUCUUUCCUCUUAUUGUUAGCACAUUCUUGAAAAAAAUUUCCAAGAAAAUAUCAGUUUGUGAUCAAAGGAUUAAUAAUAUGAUGAGGGUUUUGGUAUUUUUUCUUCUAAUUACAACAAUGGCUUCAAUUAGGGUUGAAAGUAUAAGAGUUAUGAAGGAGAAAGAUUAUCAGAAUUUGCUUCAAAACCAACUACCAAGAGGACCAGUGCCACCUUCUGAUCCAUCUCCAUGUCAUAACAAGCUUAAUCCAACUUUUAGUCAAAGCAAGUUUUCUUUUCCUCAAGAUUAUGUUAUAUGUCCUUAAUAUUAUGAUUAGUGAAUAAUAUAGUACAAUUCUUUGUUUUUGUUUCUGUUUCUGUUUCGAAAAUCAUGUCAUUUGCAUGUCACGUGUUGCUAUCAGAGUUAUAAAUACUCGAAGUAAGCUCCUGGCUCGUCCCUAUCUCUAAAGGGGCUUACUAACGAGCCGAGUAGCUGCGAGCCUCCUGGCUUUGAUCUCUAUUUUAUAGUUUGGUUAUAAUGGUAUUUAGUAGAGAGAUACAUUUCUUUCCCUGAAUAGUUUGUUGUUCUAUUUGAGGUUUUGGCUGAACGAUACUCCUUCCGGUUCAAAAUAAGUGAUUUUUUGGUUUUUUUUUGUGGUACAAAAUAAGUGAUUUUUCUAAAUUGUAAGAGUGAACUAAUUAUUUUUUUC
RNAcentral lists this long non-coding RNA (815 nucleotides) under Nicotiana benthamiana. RNAcentral describes it as "long non-coding RNA (NBEN_LNC037120)". Lineage: Eukaryota; Viridiplantae; Streptophyta; Magnoliopsida; Solanales; Solanaceae. The record is from RNAcentral.